AUACGGAGGACGCGAGCGUUAUCCGGAUUCAUUGGGUUUAAAGGGUGCGCAGGCGGCCGUGCAAGUCAGCGGUGAAAGCCCGGGGCUCAACCCCGGAAGUGCCGUUGAUACUGCGUGGCUGGAAUGCGGUCGAGGCGGGCGGAACGUGGCGUGUAGCGGUGAAAUGCGUAGAAAUGCCACAGAACGCCGAUAGCGGAGGCAGCUCGCCAGGCCUGCAUUGACGCUCGGGCACGAAAGCGUGGGGAUCGAACAGGAUUAGAUACCCUGGUAGUCCACGCCGUAAACGAUGGGCGCCCGUCGUCGGCGACAGACAGUCGGCGGCCAAGCGAAAGCGAUAAGCGCCCCACCUGGGGAGUACGGUCGCAAGGCUGAAACUCAAAUGAAUUGACGGGG
Molecule: ribosomal RNA, 393 nt
Filed under: uncultured bacterium
Lineage: Bacteria
Description: partial 16S ribosomal RNA
Rfam family: Bacterial small subunit ribosomal RNA
Source: RNAcentral